GAUUAACGCUAGCGGCAGGCCCAAUACAUGCAAGUUGUACGGGAUUAUUGGUAGCAAUACCGGUAUGAGAGUAGCGCACGGGUGCGUAACACGUAUGCAACCUACCUUUAACUGGGGAAUAGCUCACCGAAAGGUGAAUUAACACCGCAUAAAAUCACAGAAGGACAUCCCUCAAUGAUUAAAUCUCCGGAGGUUAAAGAUGGGCAUGCGUCCGAUUAGCUAGUUGGCGGGGUAACAGCCCACCAAGGCAACGAUCGGUA
Molecule: ribosomal RNA, 260 nt
Filed under: uncultured bacterium
Lineage: Bacteria
Description: partial 16S ribosomal RNA
Rfam family: Bacterial small subunit ribosomal RNA
Source: RNAcentral